Macadamia integrifolia is the source of this 108-nucleotide small nuclear RNA. The record is from RefSeq and is a predicted model, not a curated record. Lineage: Eukaryota; Viridiplantae; Streptophyta; Magnoliopsida; Proteales; Proteaceae.
UAUGUUUAAGGGCUACUUAAGAAAUUAAAAUUGGAACGAUACAGAGAAGAUUAGCGUGGCCCCUGCGCAAGGAUGACACGCACAAAUCAAGAAAUGGUCCAAAUUUUU